RNAcentral lists this ribosomal RNA (2931 nucleotides) under Escherichia coli. RNAcentral describes it as "23S ribosomal RNA". It matches the Rfam family "Bacterial large subunit ribosomal RNA". The record is from RNAcentral. Lineage: Bacteria; Pseudomonadati; Pseudomonadota; Gammaproteobacteria; Enterobacterales; Enterobacteriaceae.
GGGUUGUGAGGUUAAGCGACUAAGCGUACACGGUGGAUGCCCUGGCAGUCAGAGGCGAUGAAGGACGUGCUAAUCUGCGAUAAGCGUCGGUAAGGUGAUAUGAACCGUUAUAACCGGCGAUUUCCGAAUGGGGAAACCCAGUGUGAUUCGUCACACUAUCAUUAACUGAAUCCAUAGGUUAAUGAGGCGAACCGGGGGAACUGAAACAUCUAAGUACCCCGAGGAAAAGAAAUCAACCGAGAUUCCCCCAGUAGCGGCGAGCGAACGGGGAGCAGCCCAGAGCCUGAAUCAGUGUGUGUGUUAGUGGAAGCGUCUGGAAAGGCGCGCGAUACAGGGUGACAGCCCCGUACACAAAAAUGCACAUGCUGUGAGCUCGAUGAGUAGGGCGGGACACGUGGUAUCCUGUCUGAAUAUGGGGGGACCAUCCUCCAAGGCUAAAUACUCCUGACUGACCGAUAGUGAACCAGUACCGUGAGGGAAAGGCGAAAAGAACCCCGGCGAGGGGAGUGAAAAAGAACCUGAAACCGUGUACGUACAAGCAGUGGGAGCACGCUUAGGCGUGUGACUGCGUACCUUUUGUAUAAUGGGUCAGCGACUUAUAUUCUGUAGCAAGGUUAACCGAAUAGGGGAGCCGAAGGGAAACCGAGUCUUAACUGGGCGUUAAGUUGCAGGGUAUAGACCCGAAACCCGGUGAUCUAGCCAUGGGCAGGUUGAAGGUUGGGUAACACUAACUGGAGGACCGAACCGACUAAUGUUGAAAAAUUAGCGGAUGACUUGUGGCUGGGGGUGAAAGGCCAAUCAAACCGGGAGAUAGCUGGUUCUCCCCGAAAGCUAUUUAGGUAGCGCCUCGUGAAUUCAUCUCCGGGGGUAGAGCACUGUUUCGGCAAGGGGGUCAUCCCGACUUACCAACCCGAUGCAAACUGCGAAUACCGGAGAAUGUUAUCACGGGAGACACACGGCGGGUGCUAACGUCCGUCGUGAAGAGGGAAACAACCCAGACCGCCAGCUAAGGUCCCAAAGUCAUGGUUAAGUGGGAAACGAUGUGGGAAGGCCCAGACAGCCAGGAUGUUGGCUUAGAAGCAGCCAUCAUUUAAAGAAAGCGUAAUAGCUCACUGGUCGAGUCGGCCUGCGCGGAAGAUGUAACGGGGCUAAACCAUGCACCGAAGCUGCGGCAGCGACGCUGAUGCGUUGUUGGGUAGGGGAGCGUUCUGUAAGCCUGCGAAGGUGUGCUGUGAGGCAUGCUGGAGGUAUCAGAAGUGCGAAUGCUGACAUAAGUAACGAUAAAGCGGGUGAAAAGCCCGCUCGCCGGAAGACCAAGGGUUCCUGUCCAACGUUAAUCGGGGCAGGGUGAGUCGACCCCUAAGGCGAGGCCGAAAGGCGUAGUCGAUGGGAAACAGGUUAAUAUUCCUGUACUUGGUGUUACUGCGAAGGGGGGACGGAGAAGGCUAUGUUGGCCGGGCGACGGUUGUCCCGGUUUAAGCGUGUAGGCUGGUUUUCCAGGCAAAUCCGGAAAAUCAAGGCUGAGGCGUGAUGACGAGGCACUACGGUGCUGAAGCAACAAAUGCCCUGCUUCCAGGAAAAGCCUCUAAGCAUCAGGUAACAUCAAAUCGUACCCCAAACCGACACAGGUGGUCAGGUAGAGAAUACCAAGGCGCUUGAGAGAACUCGGGUGAAGGAACUAGGCAAAAUGGUGCCGUAACUUCGGGAGAAGGCACGCUGAUAUGUAGGUGAAGUCCCUCGCGGAUGGAGCUGAAAUCAGUCGAAGAUACCAGCUGGCUGCAACUGUUUAUUAAAAACACAGCACUGUGCAAACACGAAAGUGGACGUAUACGGUGUGACGCCUGCCCGGUGCCGGAAGGUUAAUUGAUGGGGUUAGCGCAAGCGAAGCUCUUGAUCGAAGCCCCGGUAAACGGCGGCCGUAACUAUAACGGUCCUAAGGUAGCGAAAUUCCUUGUCGGGUAAGUUCCGACCUGCACGAAUGGCGUAAUGAUGGCCAGGCUGUCUCCACCCGAGACUCAGUGAAAUUGAACUCGCUGUGAAGAUGCAGUGUACCCGCGGCAAGACGGAAAGACCCCGUGAACCUUUACUAUAGCUUGACACUGAACAUUGAGCCUUGAUGUGUAGGAUAGGUGGGAGGCUUUGAAGUGUGGACGCCAGUCUGCAUGGAGCCGACCUUGAAAUACCACCCUUUAAUGUUUGAUGUUCUAACGUUGACCCGUAAUCCGGGUUGCGGACAGUGUCUGGUGGGUAGUUUGACUGGGGCGGUCUCCUCCUAAAGAGUAACGGAGGAGCACGAAGGUUGGCUAAUCCUGGUCGGACAUCAGGAGGUUAGUGCAAUGGCAUAAGCCAGCUUGACUGCGAGCGUGACGGCGCGAGCAGGUGCGAAAGCAGGUCAUAGUGAUCCGGUGGUUCUGAAUGGAAGGGCCAUCGCUCAACGGAUAAAAGGUACUCCGGGGAUAACAGGCUGAUACCGCCCAAGAGUUCAUAUCGACGGCGGUGUUUGGCACCUCGAUGUCGGCUCAUCACAUCCUGGGGCUGAAGUAGGUCCCAAGGGUAUGGCUGUUCGCCAUUUAAAGUGGUACGCGAGCUGGGUUUAGAACGUCGUGAGACAGUUCGGUCCCUAUCUGCCGUGGGCGCUGGAGAAUUGAGGGGGGCUGCUCCUAGUACGAGAGGACCGGAGUGGACGCAUCACUGGUGUUCGGGUUGUCAUGCCAAUGGCAUUGCCCGGUAGCUAAAUGCGGAAGAGAUAAGUGCUGAAAGCAUCUAAGCACGAAACUUGCCCCGAGAUGAGUUCUCCCUGACUCCUUGAGAGUCCUGAAGGAACGUUGAAGACGACGACGUUGAUAGGCCGGGUGUGUAAGCGCAGCGAUGCGUUGAGCUAACCGGUACUAAUGAACCGUGAGGCUUAACCUUACAACGCCGAAGGUGUUU